UGGCCGUAAACGAUGUGGACUUGGUGUUGGAAUGGCUCCGAGCUGCUCCAGUGCCGAAGGGAAGCUGUUAAGUCUGCUACUUGGGGAGUACGUCCGCAAGGAUGAAACUUAAAGGAAUUGGCGGGGGAGCACCGCAACGGGAGGAGCGUGCGGUUUAAUUGGAUUCAACACCGUAAAACGCACCAGGGAAGACUGUUACAUGAAAGCCGAGAUGAAGACUCUGCUAGAUUUUCAGAGAGGAGGUGCAUGGCGUCAGUGACU
Molecule: ribosomal RNA, 261 nt
Filed under: uncultured archaeon
Lineage: Archaea
Description: partial 16S ribosomal RNA
Rfam family: Archaeal small subunit ribosomal RNA
Source: RNAcentral